RNAcentral lists this ribosomal RNA (171 nucleotides) under Gobiodon quinquestrigatus (five-lined coral goby). RNAcentral's name for it is "partial small subunit ribosomal RNA". Lineage: Eukaryota; Metazoa; Chordata; Actinopteri; Gobiiformes; Gobiidae. The record is from RNAcentral.
CACCGCGGUUACACGAAAGGCUCAAGUUGAUAGACAUCGGCGUAAAGGGUGGUUAAUAAGAGAAGUCAUACUAAAGCUGAACGCCUUCAAGGCCGUUAUACGUUUCCGAAGGUGGGAAGUUCACCCACGAAAGUGGCUUUAAGCAACUAUGACCCCACGAAAGCUAGGGCA